GGGGGGAGGAGGGGCGGGGCGGGGAGGCGCGCGGCCCCGGGCGCUCCCGGGCGCUGUCGUCGCUCCCUGCUGCCGGCCCUGGGCCCCGGCUGCCAAGCCCUAGGUGGGUGCUCGAUCCAGGCUGAGCCCCAGGUCCCGCGGCCCGCGCGCCGCCGGAGACCAGACGUAGCCGUAGCCGAGCCGCUCUCCCGCCCGGCGCCUUGAAGGCCUCCCUACCAUAGAGGCCCACAACUCAUCAAAAAGGAUACACUGAGAGAAGCUGAGCCUGUCCCAGCACCCAGAAGGAAGCUCCCCUGCCGCCAUCCCACACUCCUAGGGCAGAGAAAGUGACCCAGGUGGGCACCAGAAGCACCCCCACACACACACUGUGGAAAUGAGAAGACAUGUAAACAAGCCUCAAAAACAGACUUCUGGAUCACCUACAACAACCCCAAAGGGAAACGAGAUGGAACAAUCUGAUAUUCAACCACCUGGACACUCUGAACUGGCAACAAAAGAGGAUCUGGGAAAAACAAAAUCAGAAAUAAUUUCUCAGAUGACAACAAAGAUGGUGCUCAUAGUGCAAGACAUGAUUAAUAAAUCUAGAGAGGACACAUAAAAAAAUAGAGGACCUGAGGAACAUGAUGGAAUCCCAACAUAGGAAACAAAUGGAAUCCAUAAAACAGAUGCAAACAGAUUUCCAGGAGAUUAAAAACUCCAUCGAAAGUCUGUGCAGAAGAAUGAACCAAUGUGAGGAUAGAAUUUCAGAUAUAGAAGAUAAGAUUGCAAUUAGUGACCAAGAAAAGAAAAAUUGCUUUAAAAUUGUAAGGGAAUAGGAGAAAUCAAUCCAGCACCUGCUAGACGAUGCAAAGAAGAAUAACAUAAAACUGACUGGAGUCAAUGAAGAAACAGGAGAGAGUGCAGCUGACAUAAAAAGACUGCUCACAGAAGUGAUGGUAGAAAACUUCCCAAGCAGGGGAAAAGAACUUGACAUACAGAUAAGUGAGGCAUAUAGGACUCCAGCUAGCCUUGAUCAAAAAAAUCUACACAUAGGCAUAUCAUAGUUAGGAUUCCAGAAACCCAACAGAAGAACAAAAUUCUACAAGCAGUGAGAGAAAAGAAACAAAUCGCGUACAAAGGAAAGCCCAUCAGAAUCACAGCAGACUUCUCAAUGCAAACCCUCAAGGCAAGAAGACCUUGGAGUAUGUGUUUCAAGCCCUAAAGGAAAACAGCCUCCAACCCAGAUUGAUGUACCCUGCAAAACUAUCUUUCAAAAUUGAGGGAGAAAUAAGAUACUUUCAUGAUAAAGAGCACCUCGGGAACUUCAUGAAUACCAAACCAGCACUCCAAAAAAUUUUAGACAAUACCCUAGGAAAAGACAAUGAGGAUCACAACCCCAGGAAGCCCAGCAAAAUGAGUCCAUUGGGUGUGACAAAUUAAAUGCAAAGGGAGAGAAUCCAAGAAAAAGAAAGAGUCGUGACAAGGCUUUUAAAACUUUUAACUUCAUCUCCCUAAUGAGUGUAUAAUUCAAUCUUGUUAUUGUACUGAUUAGUAUUUUUCUGAUUCUAGAGUUGCACACCUUUCCUUGUGCUGUACUGGCUAUUUAUCAUCUUCUUAUGUCUACAUUUUAAUUGGAUUGUCUAUUAAUGAGCUGUAAGAGUUCUUUAUAUAUUCUGGUCAUAGGUUAUAUGCACUGUAAAUAUGGUCUGUUUAAGGACUACUUUUCAUUUUAAUGAUGUCAUUUAAAGUUCUAAAUUUUGAUGGAAUCUCAUUUAUCAGUUUUUUUCUUUUAUACAUCAUUUUUUGUAUCCCAGGUAGUUCUUGCCUGAAUUCAUAAAUAUUUUCC
RNAcentral lists this long non-coding RNA (1825 nucleotides) under Heterocephalus glaber (naked mole-rat). RNAcentral describes it as "lncRNA (ENSHGLG00100046100.1)". Lineage: Eukaryota; Metazoa; Chordata; Mammalia; Rodentia; Bathyergidae. The record is from RNAcentral.